GCCAUAGCUCAGUGGUAGAGCAUCUGCUUUGCAUGCAGAAGGUCCCACGUUCAAUCCCAUCUCUGGGGAGAGCA
Podarcis lilfordi (Lilford's wall lizard) is the source of this 74-nucleotide non-coding RNA. The record is from the annotation of a GenBank genome assembly. Lineage: Eukaryota; Metazoa; Chordata; Lepidosauria; Squamata; Lacertidae.